RNAcentral lists this non-coding RNA (21 nucleotides) under Caenorhabditis elegans. The record is from RNAcentral. Lineage: Eukaryota; Metazoa; Nematoda; Chromadorea; Rhabditida; Rhabditidae.
UAGAUACAAUCAUGAAUUAAG